This is a long non-coding RNA of Bombus huntii, 8553 nucleotides long. RefSeq lists it as uncharacterized. NCBI's taxonomy places the organism in Eukaryota, Metazoa, Arthropoda, Insecta, Hymenoptera, Apidae. The transcript is spliced from 3 exons. The record is from RefSeq and is a predicted model, not a curated record.
CUUAUUCGACGAUCGAUAUUCCUUAAUUGCUAUUAACAUUAAACCUUACAACCUUAUUAUCAUUCAAUAUUAGGUGAAAAGUAAAGAAAUUAUUAUAACUCUCUGUACUAUUACAGGAUGAUAAUAUUAAAAUAAGAUACAAACAGGAUAAAACUUCAGCCAUGUUAACCAUUAAGGAUUAAGUUUGAAAUAUAAAGAAACAUUAGGAACUCAUGGAAGAUAUAUCAAAGAAACUUUAGGAACUUACAGCAGAUUUAUCAAAUUAAUUGACAGCGUUAAAUUUUAGUCUUAGAAAAAAGAUGCUUCACGAGCUUGAGGCACGAGUGAUCUCUCGCAAAACGAGAAAGAAGAAAUUAGAAAAAUGAAGGGGAUUUAGUUAAGAAAGAUGGGUUUCUCAUCUAAAAUGAACUGACGUCUUAAUCCUGCUCAUAUAGGGACUUUAAAGGGAUACCUGUCAACAUUUCGAUAUACGUUAGAUUUUAAAGAUUUAUUACAUAGAAGAAGAUUAAAAUAUACACCUGGUAACCUCGUAGAGAAGUAUUACUCUUCUUCUAACUUCUGGCUGAUGCAACUUCUCGGACGAAAGUCGCGAGGAUCUAACGUAGUUCCAAAUUGUUUUAGAUCCUAACAAGAUUAACUCGACUCCGAAAUGUUAAAUAACCUAAACCUUUUUGCGUAUCUCCUUGAAGCGCGUUCUUCGUAUAUUAGAUCUGGCACCGUUCGGCAAAAUGUUGACACUUGACAUGUGAAAAAUUCGUAACAAUAGGCCACAAGACACGGUUAUGAAAGGUAAUUUUACGGAAAUAGCACGGUAACAACUGCGUAAUCUCGUUUUCAUUUCCGCCCAGCGUCAACCGUAAAGUUUGUGUAUUUCUAACUGAUUACGUUGAACUGCAAAACUGUGGCACAUACACCGAAAACACGUAAGAGACUCGGUACCGUUAUCGCGAUUCUAUUGCGCUACGCACUACCAAUACCCACCUACAGAAGGCUGCAGUUUUAUCUUAUCACACGGUGCAACACACCGAAAGGUUUAAUCGUUUCACUGUUCGUGGAAAGGUUUAAUUGUUAGAGAAUGAUAGAAACUAUCGUAACACAGCGUACAGAUACUGUGGAAUAAUAAAGAAAAAUGGUAAAACCGCUUCGAGAAGCGUGGCUGAUUUAAGGUACUUUUUCUGUCUUGCAAUUAUCGCAUCGUUUUCGUAACUAAUCUACGACCAAGUAUAUUCGAUAGUGCAAGUUUUUAUAGGAAAUACGAACGUAAUGAAUUAUAUUACCAAUCUAUUAUCGAUUAGUUUGAUAGGAUUUUUAAGACGAAAUCAGUUUAUUCAUGAGAAAAAUUGUCGUAAUUUUGAGAAUCACAAAAAUAAAUAUUUUAUAAGAAACACUAAUAACACCAUUACGAAUGAUUGGGAUAUUUAAGAUCUGAAAUUGAGGGCCUUUCUAAAGAAGAGUCUAUAGAUCUAUGAUAAGUGUAUGUAUAGACGUUGUGUAAUUACUAGUUAAAUACUUACAUCAUUAUGAAAUGCUUAUUUAACGAAAUUCUUCGAGAGUCAUUACAAUUAUCAGUUAUCGACUCAAACGUAAUUAGUAUUAGAAAGUCGAAACUGAAUCGUCAAAUGAGAUUUACUCGAUUCACAAUUUAGUCGUCCAAACCCAUUUUCCACAAUGUUCCUUUAUUUACAGUACUAUAUUCGAUGACUUUCCUGAAUCUCUCCCAAGCCACGCCGUUAAAGGAUCAACUAGAGAAAUCAUUGGAAAUGGAGCAAAGUCAACUACAAUACCUACUCGGCAACAGUUCUACUGACCUAGACUGAUCUAAUCCCAGCUGGAACAACGUAGGCUUGUUAAAAGUUAGGUAAAAUCAAUCAAGACGACGAGCUGACUCGGUUGAAGUCUCAUUGAUCCACCUAGAUCUAAUCCAUGUCUAACCUGAACUCUCGAAGGAUCUAAACCAGAUCUAACUUGCAACGAGUUCCAGGAACACUUACGGAGUUCAAACAGCUCCGAUUGACUUGGUAUAUACAUGUCAUGAUGAUUGGGGCUUUAAGAGAUUAGUAAAAUCUAAUUUAAUGGAGAUUCGUGUUCGGUAUACGUGGUUCACUAUCAGACAAUGCGAGUUUGGUUAUCUCAAUUAAUUUUAAUGAAUUUCAAUAAACUAUGUACAUACAUAUAAAUCUUUAUACAUAUAUCCUUCGAUAUCAAAGAGGAUUAAAAAGUCGCUGAGUUUUUUUUGAUAGUAUAUCUAGUAUUAAAUAGUUUCUUUCGAAUAUUAAUGUGUAGCAAAUUAGAAUAAUAUUGAGAAUUACGAUGGUUUUCAACUUAAUUAAUAGGAUACCAAUUAAUGGAUAUAUUCAAUUGGAUCGAUAUAGUCUGUUAAGUGUUUGUGUGGAUUACACAAGACUCGUCGUUAUAAACUGGAUUUUGACCAGAUCAGCGAAUCGACCAGUCUUUCCCUAGCAUUUACAUGUGUCAAAUGGUUUAUUUGUAUAGAAGUCUGUAAAUUAUCGCUACGGCAAUUAUCGUAACCAUGUACAAACAUGGUACAUGUUACAUGUACAUGUAAAUUAUAGUGAUGAACAGAUAUAGCGACGAACUGAAAUGGACUUAUACCAAAUUCAACUUUAUUAAUUUAGUUGAUGUAACAUUCGAAAUAAAAAUGUGAAAGUCAUCUUAUAUCUAUAGUGCUUCAAAACACAGAAAAUGUACCUUCAAAUCUCAUAUUAUAGAAGAAAAUAGAAAUAUCCUAUACGUUUCAUAAUAAAAAUAGUCGAAUUUACGUUAAGUGUAUACCCCUGUUAUAUUAUAUGAAGAUCAGACGAAACAACAUGAUAAACGAUCUUCAAAUUCAAUAGUCAAUCUCAUCUUAUCAAAACCUAUUAAGGAAGAUCGAAAUAAAAAAUACUAACACAAAUAUAUUUGUAGACGUCUUUCGCAUAUGUUCUUCGUGUCGUAUAAAUAAAGAAAAGAAAUAUACAAUAGAAUCCGAAUUCUUUUGUUUAAAGAUUUUUCCUUAAGCAGAAAUCAACCACGACUCUUACCAUUUUCGCUAUUACGUACGUAUGUUAUCUACAAAGAUAGACAUUCUGUCUUACACACAUAUAGAGCCAAAGUGUCGAGAUUCUAAGUGUAAAGACGCUAUUCAUUUCACUAUUAACAGCAGGUGUGACAUUCUUGCUUACAUGGAUGCACCUCUCUGACUUUGACUUUAUACGUUCCCUUGACACAGUCUGAAUCAGGUUAUUGUGAAGGCGUAACGGAGCGUUGCUUUUAAGCGACUUCUGAUGUUCCCUCUGACAACUGAUGCAUUCUUGUUUAAUUUCCUGCAUGGAUGGCAACGGCCACCAGAUGAUAUCAUUCCCAUUUUCUACGACCAAUAGCAUGAAAAUAUCAUUUCACUAGAUAUUACCAGAGGGACGAAUAAAAUCGUGUUUUAAUCAUAGAUAACGAAUGAGAGCGAUGAGGGACGACGAUUGAUUGCGAUGGAGGAACAGAUUUUCACGUAAAUGAUAUUGAACAGUUUUUUUAUACGUAGAAAAUCCGUAACUUUAAUCCCAACGAAAUAACAAUGAAAUACGUAAUAGGUUCGUGGAAAGUUCAAUUCGAAGUACAUAUUUAUUUCCUACGUGUUUCGUGCAUUAUUUUCUCAUUAAUGGAAGAAAAUUAUGCAAAAUAUAAUCUGCCGAACACGCAUGUAUCGACCUCUAAAUUAUUCAUUACAUAUUCCAUUAAAAUAAUAAUAAUUUUGAUGGCGAUGUUCGAUUUACAUUAUUCUCCAGAACCAUUACCUCUGAGAAACAAAACAUAAUUAUUAUACUCGAUAUAAUAAUUAUAAUAAAUUUAAUAAAGUGUAGUUCUUCGAAAAGUAUUUACGUAACUUUUAAUAAAUAUAUCGUACAUACCAAUAAUUCUAAAUCGAGAUAUUUUAAUAAAGUUAUUAACGUAAUAUGAUCUUAUCCAUAAGUUACACGAAUACUUCAGCAUGUCUGGCUAUAGUUGAGAUAAAAUCGGUCGUAUUUCUGAAAUACGCCCAGCCUACGUAGCUCGCCAUUCGAACAGAACGCUUGCCUUCCACACACUACCCAUCCUUUGUUAACGCACAAACGCGCAAUAACAGGAAAUACGCAUUCACGGCUCUUAUGCAUUAUUACGCAACAAUUUGCAACCUAUAUGGGCCAUCGUGGGUAAUCUCGAAUUGUUUCAAUUGUGUCACGGUACAACGCACUGUAGUCGGUUAAUUCCUCGCUUGUCAACAUUGAAAAAUUCUAAGAAUGGAAUAGUAUGAAACAACGUGAAAUACAAAGAAGCUGAAUACGAAAAUUGAGAAUAUAGGAAUAUUGUAAAGAAUAAUUUACGAUAAAAGCUUCCAUCUCAACCUCAGUUCGAAAGACAGAAUAACACGAGCUUUGAUACAAAUUCAUGUACUGCAGUUCACAGAAGGAUAGUUUCAUCUCCAUUAAAGAAAGAAGCAUAAUACGGAUAAAAAGAAACAAAACUAUUCUUUAAUACAUAAACUUGGAAAAGAAACAAAAAUAUUCAUGAAAGAAUACUUAAAAACUUUUGCUUAAGAGUAUUUUAACAUCUUGAAUAAAAAUGUAAAUAAAUUUGCUUCUAAUUGCUUGAAAUUGCUUGAAAUUUCUAGGAAACGAAAAUGAAGCUUUAUUCAUAUAAAGUUGUAGUUUAUAAUUUAUCGACCAUCCCUUGAUAAUUGCUAAUGUCGUCAUACGUCUCAUCAAUGAGUAUUAAAGCACUUUUCUUCGAUAUUUCUAGAAUUCGUGACGCUUCUAAUAUUUUGAUAAUGAGUAAUAAUGAGAUUCAUUAUAAACCGACUUACAGAAGUGGCUUUUAAGCCGAAAUAAUUACUUGAAAUAAAGACGCGAUUUCGUUAUUACUAUGCAAGCACUUGGAGUCAUUUACCAGAUGCUAUGUGAGAGUCUGCAAAUAACAAUUACGUAUAAUAAAUGUACCACUUACAGUAUGGAAAAUAUUAAUAUACAGUAUGGAAAAUAAAUAUUUCUUAAAACAAUUAUACCACAAUAACUCCGAUUAGACGCUAAUGUCUGAGUAAUUUUUAGAACAACAAAUUUGAAUACAAAUUUGAAUAUCAGUAACUGCGUGUUAUAAUGUAGUCAUUAUAUACUUGUAACCAUAAGAUGCAUGUAACUUUAAAUAGUAAAUAGUUCAGUUGUCUAUUACAUAACAUGAUCUGAAAUAAAUUACAAGAUGUGAACGAAAACAAAAAAUAAUAAUAUAUCAUAGCAAGAUACAAAGUAUUAAUUUGACACUUUCCGAUACACGUCAAAGAUUGAACAAAUUUACGUAAAAAGAAAAAAAUUAUAAAUGAUAUUAUGCAAGGUAACUGUUACAGUAUAUGCUACAUGUUUGACAUUAUAAAAGCGAAAGGUGAAUGUAAAGAUAAAGUCAUGGUCAUAAUGAUAAAUACAUUACUUCAUGUCUCUAGUUUAACAGGUUUUAAACCUGUUCGUAACAGUUUUCAUAAAGUAUCAUUCGUCUAAAAAUGGCCCAAAACAUUCAAGAAUGAUAAAAAGUCAUCGCCCUAUGCAUGUUGACAUUUUUAAUCUCUGAGCAUCCAUGUGAAAGUUCGCCAAUAAGAAAAUCCUAAUUCCCCUUAUAUAUCCUUAUUCGCGUAUACUAUCCUCAUCACGCUACCAAUUAUUCUCACGUUUCAGUAUGCCCGAUUUCGUAAUCGUUCUUAUCGCGUGUUGCCCCGGCUAUCGGGAAAUCGCGAAUUAACACGAACCACCACGAAGCGCGUCCUCGGUCGUUCCUCGACAGAAAUCGUCAAUUUCCGUCGAGUUCCGGCUCUAGCACGAGGCGUCGGUUUCUGUCUCAACGAAACGAAUCUUCAAAUACUCGUCGAACGUGGUGCAGACAACACACGAAGGUAAUACGUAAUUGCGUCCAAUCUGAAGUAUCUGUCACUUGUCACUUGCCAAAGAAAUUCGUUCAUAUAUCCCAACAUUGUAGCCAUGUGUACACGAACGUGGCUGUUCUGCAGAACGAUCACCGCCAUGACACACAAUUCCCCGUUCCCGCGGUCAAACACUCCGAAACGAACAUUUCACGAUCUCACUAACACACGCGCGACAUCCAGCGGGAUCUUUUUGGCAGCCGGCAACAGGUCGCGGUAGUCGCUAUCCCGAACUCGUGACACGCGUCGUCGUGUUAUUGUUUAUUGUUCGGUCCACGACGGAAUUGUAGCGUCGCGUCGGUAGUGUCGGGGUCUUGCCGCUACUCUAUUUCAGUCCUCUCAGGUAGGAGAGCAGAGACAAACGUAGUCUGGCUCGGACGAAUGCUUGGAGACACUAUUAACAAAGAAUAAGAACCACUCUGUAGACUGAAAGAGAGAAAAAGAAAUAGGGACGACGGUGAGAAACAGAGAAAGAAUGAGCGUAAAGGAGAGAAGAAACACGAGACUGAAGCCAACGGCUACCAUUAUAAAUAGUUGCCAUCCACUAGCGAUGGGAGUGAUACUCUUUCGUCCACCAGGUGGAACAACUGUACAUAGCGCCAAUUUUAUUUUUUUGAAAAAUUAUUAUAAUGUUACAAUUAUAAUAAAUAUAAAAAAUAAAUGAAAUAUCAAGUUUGAAGCAAGUAGCUUGAAAGAUCAAUUCUGUAGUAUAGGUGUAGUUUGUUUGAAAUUGUAUCGUUUCCAUCACUAUCGGCUGAGUAAACUAGAGUAAGAUGAACGAAAGCGAGAAAGAGAGAUAGAACACAUCAACGGAAGUAUGUACGUGAGAAAAACAGAAACAGACAGUGGUCUCUCGUUUGCUCUACCUCUUAUGUUUUGCGUCAUUGCACCGUCACUGAAGUCUGUCUUGAAUUUUAACGAACUGCGGUCCUAACAUGUAAAUUUGCACGAUUUCCUUUCGACGAACGACGAUCGCCAAUUUUGUAGUCUCACUGAAGUAAUUGCACUGAACUAUGAUAUGAGAAAUAUUGGGUAGAUAAUACAUACAUAGUAACAAAUUAGGAAAUUUAUUAAUCAAUUUCAUAAUUAACGUUAACAAAAUCAAAUGUCAAUGAGUAUGUCUUCAUUAAAAGCCAUGUUUAUGAGCAACAUAAUCCAUGUUUAUCAAACCAAAAGGACUAUUAUAAUUAUUAGUUUCCGGUUGAUUUACAAAGCGAACAGGCUUUUUCACAAAAAUAUAAAAUUACCAGCAAAUUACCUCAAAAUAGAUCUCCAAAACAAUCCAUUUUCAGAAUGUUUUUGUAUCUUGAAUCAAUUUGUUGACACAUAGUUAAAUGUAAACAAUUUCCAAAUUAUAGAAAUAAUUAUUUGAUACUUUUCUCAGCUUGAGUUCUCAUAUAGUAUAUCAAAAUAUUUCUUUUAAAGCCCGAACUUCGUGGCGUACCAAAAUUCGUACGACAACUAUCAUUACACGCAGAUUCCGUAUUGUUUAUUUUAAGGGCGUUUGUUGGCAGCACUUGGGUGUUUUAUACCUGUUUAUAAGUUUUGGCGCGAAUCCGAGGCGCCAUGACGAUUGUUGGAUACGUGUUUACGAAAGUGUCAUAAAUCGAUUAAUAUAUUUCUGUUUUACUCGAUGCUUAUGUUGAUAUGUUUUUAAUAAAUAAAACAACGUGCUAUCGAUAAAGUACGAGUGUCAUCAAUAAAAACAUUGUGACUUAUCUGCAGUGUAUAUGUGCUAAUAAUUAUAUUCAUGAAGAACGCAUUGUACUCGUAAUAAAGGAAUACUCGAAGAAAAGGUCAAGUAAGUACGAUGAAGGGAGAUCAAGAGAAGAAAAACUGGCAUUACGAUAAUUUCCAUGAUUAAGCCAUUAAUCUCAUCCGUAUCCGUAUUUCUCUACGAGACAGGAAGUAAGGUUAGUGGAAUGCAAGGGCGCCGACGAAAGUUUUUUGACUCCCAUGAUGUACAUAUGUAAGUAGUAGGAACUUUAAAGGGGAAAUUUCUUUGCUUUCGCGAACCACACAGAUUGCACGCUAUGUAUUUUGCUACAUUCUUUUUCAUAAUUUCCGAAUUUAUUGCUAAUAAAAUUUGCCAGUAAAAGUAAGAAAAAAAUCCAGUAAUAAUCAAUGUGUUAAUGUCUUGAAUAAUAAAGAGUUGAAUAAUAAAAACACUAUUGAAGUCUUGAAUUCGGAACAGUUUUUUCCAUAGGCCUCUUAAUUUACAAUCGUGAUUACAAGUGUCAGUGUGCGUAACAAAUCAAGGUCUUCUCCUGGGGUAGGAAAGUUUCCUCGCGGAAAUCGUACACGAUAAACCUCUUCUUUUUUUAUUUUGAUAAUGUGUGUGCGUGUAUUUUUUGUACAAUAUAAUAAUAAUAAUUGUAGUAGUAAUAGAAGUAGUAGAGUAAUAGUAAUAGAAGUAGUAGUGGUAGGACAGCCGAGAGGUUGUAACAGCGUGUUUUAUCUCACCGGAAUUCUCACCGUUAUAGGUUAGACUUUUUCACGGAAAAAUAUAACGUGUAGACCGUUCGUCUUUCUUUCUUGAACCGUCUUCGUACGCUUACUCCGAUGUCGCAAUAAAAGUUCAAAACAAAAAGCUACCUAUAACGACAAGAUUCUGGGAAAAU